RNAcentral lists this transfer RNA (93 nucleotides) under Virgisporangium aliadipatigenens. RNAcentral describes it as "tRNA-Arg". Lineage: Bacteria; Bacillati; Actinomycetota; Actinomycetes; Micromonosporales; Micromonosporaceae. The record is from RNAcentral.
GUGCUCCAGGGCCGGCUGUACGGGCUGCGCGGCACCGACCUGCGCCGGCGGGUCGGCGAACUGCUCGACCGGUUCGACCUCGGCGGAGCGGCC